UCUUCCUCCGGCUUCGGCUUCUUUCUUUGGGUUCCGGUGCGAAUGAGGAGGAGCCGGGGCGAGCUCGGUCCUCGCCGGAGUCUCGGCGCUGUCGGUCCGGCUUGGUCGGGAGGCGGUUCGGCGUGGACGGCUCGCCGCUUGGGUAGGGGUAGUUGGAGGUACCUACUACAUCCUGGCCUGGUCUCCAUCAUACAAACAAAACAAAAUGUGUACCAGAUGAACGACCAAAGUCUCAGACAGGACACGACCCCUGGGGCGCCAAGCCAGUGAGCCCAUCCCGCGGGGGACCCAGCCAGGGGGAUGCCACCCACUCCCCAGAACAGUCCCCUAGCCCAACUGAAGUGCCCUGACCAGUCCCAAAUGGAGGGGCAUGGGUACUGGACCACCGCCACGCCCAAUACUCCAAGCGCCCUACCGCCCCCACUACUCCCGGAGACUACGGGGGCCCCAGCCAACGCAGGAGCCAGCUACCACCUGAAAAAGGUCACAGCCCGCCAAAAGUGAGCCCAUGUUAAGGACCCGUCGUGAGUAGUGACGGGCGAGGGCGCCAGGAGAGGGGAGAAGAAGGCAGGGACCCAAGGAAGGGGAGGGGGGACCCCCAUCUCCCCGUGGCCCGACAACCGAAGUGUGUGGGGGGGGGGGGCAGGCCCCAGGAGAUAUGUGACUACCCCCACCCACCCUAUUACUAUGGUUACCAGGUCCCUGUCUGGCAGCCAUUAUCCCUGCACCGUGAUCGUGUGUGGUGGGGUGUCUUUUUAUUUUCAGAAAAUUUUAUGCACAUUUAUUAAAGUUUAUUUGGAAUUUAAAUAUAUAAAACUUUAAAUGUUUUAAUGGCAUUUUAACAAUUUUAUUAAGCUAUUACAAGAUUAAUUUUAAGUGGAGAAUUAUUCAACAUAAAACAAUGGAUUCUGUUGAGGAGGUUUGUCGAUAUACAGUGGUGUCUUGAGAUAUGAGUUAAAUUCAUCCCGUGACCACACAUACAUAAAAAAAAUAAAAUAAUUGUAUCUCAAAUCAUAUUUCCCCAUUGAAAUGAAUGGAAAUGCCAUUAAUCCGUUCCAGCACCCCCCCCCCCCCCCCCCCCCCAAAAAAAAACAAUUGUGUUUGUUUUUAAUCAGGAUCUAGAAUAUUGUGCAUCAUAAAACGUAGCGUAAAAUUAAAUAGAAUGUAAAGAAUAAAACACUGUGCAUCUUGAUUUAAUGCUGCAACCCAUUUCAAUGUGCUGUGCCUGCGUUGGUCACCGGGAGGCAGUACAAUAUAAGACGGCCAUGCAGACACAAAGAAGAGACUUUUUCUUAUCCUCCUACUACUGUGAGUGACUCAAAAACUAUUGUAUAUUAGUCAUUUUUCAUAGAGGACAAAGAAUAUAUGCCUCUGAGUAUUGUUCUAUAACAUUUCUAAAUAUGUUACUCCACUGUUCGUGUUGAAAUAUCCGUUGCUUAAAUUAUCGAUGUUAACCACGACCAUCCAAAUGAUGUUUUCCAUUUAUGUUAGCAUUAAGCUAAACUGACUCUCGUGAGGCAGAGCUAUGUAGUUAUUUAAAAUAUACGAUGUGUAAUUCUCUUUGUUGUGUUUAGUUUGACAGUAAACCUCAACUGGGAGUGGCAUUAAACCGCUUGAAGCCUCUUUUUUUGAGGAAUUGUUCACUAUUUGCCAAACUGCUGCUUAUUGUAAAGUGAGUUGAAUUGAACUGAAACACCUCGAGAUUACUUUUUACACCAUUUAAAAUAUUAUGAGAUCUUU
Molecule: long non-coding RNA, 1740 nt
Organism: Phyllopteryx taeniolatus (common seadragon)
Lineage: Eukaryota; Metazoa; Chordata; Actinopteri; Syngnathiformes; Syngnathidae
Exons: 3
Source: RefSeq, a predicted model, not a curated record